ACUAAGCAUAUCAAUAAGCGGAGGAAAAGAAACCAACAGGGAUUGCCCCAGUAACGGCGAGUGAAGCGGCAACAGCUCAAAUUUGAAAUCUGGUCCCCCCGCGGGGCCCGAGUUGUAAUUUGAAGAGGAUGCUUCUGGCAAGGUGCCGUCCGAGUUCCCUGGAACGGGACGCCGCAGAGGGUGAGAGCCCCGUACGGUCGGACGCCGAGCCUCUGUGAAGCUCCUUCGACGAGUCGAGUAGUUUGGGAAUGCUGCUCAAAAUGGGAGGUAAACCCCUUCUAAAGCUAAAUACCGGCCAGAGACCGAUAGCGCACAAGUAGAGUGAUCGAAAGAUGAAAAGCACUUUGAAAAGAGAGUUAAAAAGCACGUGAAAUUGUUGAAAGGGAAGCGCUUGCGACCAGACUCGCGCCCGUCGGAUCAGCCGUCGCUCGUCGGCGGCGCACUCCGGCGGGCUCGGGCCAGCAUCAGUUCGCCUCGGGGGGAGAAAGGCGGCGGGAAUGUGGCUCUACGGAGUGUUAUAGCCCGCCGCGUAAUACCCCCGGGCGGACUGAGGACCGCGCGUAUGCAAGGAUGCUGGCGUAAUGGUCGUCAGCGACCCGUCUUGAAACACGGACCAAGGAGUCGUCCUAAUAUGCGAGUGUACGGGUGUCAAACCCCUGCGCGUAAUGAAAGUGAACGGAGGUGAGAGCUUCGGCGCAUCAUCGACCGAUCCUGAUGUUCUCGGAUGGAUUUGAGUAAGAGCAUAUUGGGCCGGACCCGAAAGAAGGUGAACUAUGCCUGUGUAGGGUAAAGCCAGAGGAAACUCUGGUGGAGGCUCGCAGCGGUUCUGACGUGCAAAUCGAUCGUCAAACAUGGGCAUGGGGGCGAAAGACUAAUCGAACCUUCUAGUAGCUGGUUUCCGCCGAAGUU
RNAcentral lists this ribosomal RNA (909 nucleotides) under Microascus cinereus. RNAcentral describes it as "partial large subunit ribosomal RNA". It matches the Rfam family "Eukaryotic large subunit ribosomal RNA", at positions 33 to 968 of the family's 3401-position model. The record is from RNAcentral. Lineage: Eukaryota; Fungi; Ascomycota; Sordariomycetes; Microascales; Microascaceae.